UCUAGAGCUAAUACAUGCGAAAAAAUCUUUCAAGGUGAGCAAUCAUUUUGAAGGUGAUGCAUUUAUUAGAUUAAACCAAUCAUUGUAUCAGUAGUUUACUCUAUUGAUGCAUUGUUGUGGUGAGUCUGGAUAACUGUGCCGAUCGUAUGGCCUAGAGCCGGCGACAUUUCGAUUAAAUUUCUGCCCUAUCAACUUGUUGGUAAGGUAGUGGCUUACCAAGGUGAUUACGGGUAACGGGGAAUCAGGGUUCGAUUCCGGAGAGGGAGCCUGAGAAACGGCUACCACAUCCAAGGACGGCAGCAGGCGCGCAAAUUACCCAAUCCAGACACUGGGAGGUGGUGACGAGAAAUACCAGGUCGUUCCCAAAAGGAUUCGACACUGGAAUGAGUGCAAUUUAAAAAUUUCAACGAGUAACAACUGGAGGGCAAGUCUGGUGCCAGCAGCCGCGGUAAUUCCAGCUCCAGUAGUGUAUCCAAACGUUGCUGCGGUUAAAACGCUCGUAGUUGGACAAUAGAGUAAUUUAGUGCGGGCGGGAAAUGUAAUUGCUCCAUGUAACUGACUAUUAUGAAUAGUAUAAAGUGGAAAGAAUGAGAUGGGAGGUAAAGAUAAGAUGGCUAUGAUGAAAGUUGUGGUUGUUUUGUUUUUAUUACUCGUUUUGUUUUUUCAUUUCUUUUGCUUAUUUAUGAUAGUAAAUAGUGCAUGGUAGUAGCACUUGUCGACCAUGCAGCUAAGUUACUUGUAAUGUUUCGUGAGAAUAGUACAUGAUCUUAAUUGUAUUGUGUACCAUGUCUUACGUAGUGUGCCUUGAAUAAAUCAGAGUGCUCAAAGCAAGCUAAUUGCUUGAAUGUUAAUAGCAUGGAACGAAUGUUUAGUGGAAGUGUAUUAAUGUGUAAUUAUGAGUAUUAUGUACUUGUAAGAGCGUGUUAAUACACAGCACCAACCACGAAGCGGAACAUUGGUUACCGACUUCGGGUGAGGAUUAAAAGGGGCAUUUGGGG
Molecule: ribosomal RNA, 998 nt
Filed under: Myxozoa sp. OBTC 7
Lineage: Eukaryota; Metazoa; Cnidaria; Myxozoa
Description: SSU rRNA
Rfam family: Eukaryotic small subunit ribosomal RNA
Source: RNAcentral